Molecule: transfer RNA, 54 nt
Filed under: Diurodrilus subterraneus
Lineage: Eukaryota; Metazoa; Annelida; Polychaeta; Eunicida; Diurodrilidae
Description: tRNA-Trp
Source: RNAcentral
AAGAAUGUAAGUUAAAUAAACUAUUAAUUUUCAAAAUUAAAUAUUAUAUUCUUG